RNAcentral lists this ribosomal RNA (490 nucleotides) under uncultured bacterium. Its description in RNAcentral is "partial 16S ribosomal RNA". It matches the Rfam family "Bacterial small subunit ribosomal RNA", at positions 29 to 506 of the family's 1533-position model. The record is from RNAcentral.
GUGAACGCUGGCGGUAGGCCUAACACAUGCAAGUCGCACGGCAGCACAGUAAGAGCUUGCUCUUACGGGUGGCGAGUGGCGGACGGGUGAGGAAUACAUCGGAAUCUACUUUUUCGUGGGGGAUAACGUAGGGAAACUUACGCUAAUACCGCAUACGACCUACGGGUGAAAGCAGGGGAUCUUCGGACCUUGCGCGAUUGAAUGAGCCGAUGUCGGAUUAGCUAGUUGGCGGGGUAAAGGCCCACCAAGGCGACGAUCCGUAGCUGGUCUGAGAGGAUGAGCAGCCACACUGGAACUGAGACACGGUCCAGACUCCUACGGGAGGCAGCAGUGGGGAAUGUUGGCCAAUGGGCGCAAGCCUGAUCCAGCCAUACCGCGUGGGUGAAGAAGGCCUUCGGGUUGUAAAGCCCUUUUGUUGGGAAAGAAAAGCAGCAGGUUAAUACCCCGCUGUUCUGACGGUACCCAAAGAAUAAGCACCGGCUAACUUCGU